UGACUAGUGUGAAGGAAUGACCGGGCCCAGACGGACGCUCCCUCUACAACGUCACUAACCGACCAAUCACAGGGCAACGUUCGCUUUCCUCUUCCUCUGCUCUUUCUCUCUCUCUCUCUCUCUCUCUCUCGCCUUCCACCAGAGCAUCCCCUCCUCCUCCUCUUCUUCUUCAUACCGUGUGGUCCAAGGAGGACUUCUUGUCUUGCGGGAGCAACGUGGAGAGGAUAGAAGAAGAAGUGUGACCGCGGACGAGUGCCCAGAAUCAACUACGGAUCGGACUUCCUGUUUCCUGGACGGGCCCACACAUUUGAGAGGAGGACCUUCAGACAGCCACCAUCCCGACUCCAGAAAACGCCAGAAAAUUACCAGGCCCACUUCAAACCACCACCAGGUGAAAGGGGCUCAAGAGACAAGGCUUCUUCACGCCGUUGUGAGGUCGAAGCAUCGGCAGAUAGUCCAGUGACACAGCCUCAGCCCGACCAUCUUUACCCGUACAUGGAGACCCCCAGCUGGGCAGGCUUGAAAGUGUACUUCUACGGGUCCUGGACAUCUGUGCCCUAAUGAAGAGAGUUCAUUGACGCGCUGACAUCAUCUAAUCUGAUCGUGGGAAGUCACAUCGAUUGUGUGGAACUGCAAACAGAAACAUGAUCGUCCCGCUUUGGUUGGUUCCAUUUGAAACUGGUAACGCGUUGUGCAAGUCGGGAAGCAUCGGCGUCUUCGGGAACGUGGUGUACAGCGGACUGCUCAACGACCACCUGUGGCAUUUGGGAGUGCCGCUCUUCACGAGACUGGGUAACCAAGAGGCCGCCAACCCCGCGGACGCCAUGACCCAGCCCUACACCGCGGCCCAGUACCCCCCGCCCCCACAGAACGGUAUCCCCGCCGAGUUCGCCGCGCCUCACCCGCUCCCCACGCCCGACUACAGCGGGCAGAGCCGCGUGGCCGAGCACGCCAUGACGCUGUACACGCCCACGCCCACGCACAGUGAGCCGGCGCCGGGCACCGACAGCAGCACGCCCACCAUCGCCGCCCCCGCACCGGUCAGUGUCGCUCAGCACCUGCAAACACUCUUCUCCACAGGCCGCCAGCAACAGACGGACGACGUGACGCAAACGGACGCCUCGCAGCACUCGGACUCGUCGGAGAAGCAGCAGCCAAAACGGUUACACGUGUCCAACAUUCCCUUCCGCUUCCGGGACCCCGACCUGAGGCAGAUGUUUGGGCAAUUUGGAAAGAUCUUAGACGUGGAGAUUAUCUUUAACGAGCGAGGGUCCAAGGGCUUUGGCUUUGUAACUUUUGAAACGAGCGCAGAUGCCGACCGCGCACGGGAGAAACUAAACGGUACAAUCGUAGAGGGCCGCAAGAUCGAGGUGAACAACGCCACAGCGCGAGUGAUGACAAACAAGAAAGUGGCAAACCCGUACACGAACGGCUGGAAAUUGAACCCGGUGGUGGGCGCCGUUUACGGUCCCGAGCUGUACGCCGUAACAGGCUUCCCUUACCCCGCCACGGGCGCCGCCGUUGCCUACAGGGGCGCCCACUUGCGAGGUCGGGGGCGGGCGGUUUACAACACGUUCCGCACGGCCCCACCGCCGCCGCCCAUCCCAGCUUACGGAGCGGUGGUGUACCAAGAUGGCUUCUAUGGUGCUGAGAUCUAUGGCGGAUAUGCAGCAUACAGAUUCGCCCAGCCGGCCACCACGGCCGCCUACAGCGACAGCUACGGCAGAGUCUAUGCAACGGCCGACCCCUACCACCACACGAUCGGCCCUGCCGCCGCGUACACCGUGGGGACCAUGUAAAUACGAAACGUCGGGAAGAGGAAGUAGCGUUCGGCACGGUUGGACAGACGAGAAGAGGCGGAGCAACUUUAGCAAACAACAAGAAGUGCCACAAGAUGGGAGGGAGGUGUACAAAAUGGCGGGCGGCAUCCACAGCCGCAUCCCCCACCGGGGACCGACCGAUCGUCUUCUUUGGGGCGGCGAGGAGAAAAGACAGAAAGAAAAACAAAAGGAUGAGCGGCGUCCCGUUAUUAUAAAACAUUUUAUUUUUUUAUACUUUUGUCACGUGUGUAUAAAGGCGUAUAAAUAUAUAUAUGUACAAAUAUGUCUUUUUAUGUUUUCCGGGGAGUUCAGAACAGGCGGAGGAGGGCUAACCUGCGCCUCCUCGGCCUCCUCCUCGUCUUCCUCCUACUUUACUUCCUUCCUCCCCGUGGACGCUGUCGUGAUGUCACUUCCUGCUGGCAGCAGCCCCCACGCCCUCCCCGCUGGUUUACAGCGCCCCCUCGGCGGAUGUUCCACGGCCGAGGACUGGAAAAUCUGUCGGCAUCCGUCACCGUCGGCGGGCGCUUGGCGGCGUACGCCGGGACUUCCUGGAGGACAUCUCGACUGGCGGCGUCCUCGCGUAGUCCAAGGCCACGUCUACACGUACGCACCAGGUUCCUCGUCGGCUGCUUUCGACAGAACAUCCAUCAGUGAGCAGCUCCGCCAUCUGCCGCUCCACCGCGGCGGCCGCCCGGCCUGCUCAGCCCCGCUCGGCGCCAUCUGCAGCCCGCUUUCCCUGACGACAACACAUCACAACGCUCCGACAAGUUUUACUUGAAAUAAGGCUUUUUUUUCUUUUUU
RNA transcript from Phyllopteryx taeniolatus (common seadragon), 2621 nucleotides. It is a transcript of the gene named RNA binding protein fox-1 homolog 3-like, with no coding region annotated. NCBI's taxonomy places the organism in Eukaryota, Metazoa, Chordata, Actinopteri, Syngnathiformes, Syngnathidae. The transcript is spliced from 19 exons. The record is from RefSeq and is a predicted model, not a curated record.